AGAGUUUGAUCAUGGCUCAGGAUGAACGCUGGCGGCGUGCCUAACACAUGCAAGUCGAGCGAUUCUCUUCGGGAGAAGAGCGGCGGACGGGUGAGUAAACGCGCGGGUAACCUGCCCUGUACACACGGAUAACAUACCGAAAGGUAUGCUAAUACGAGAUAAUAUGCUUUAUCGCAUGGUAGAAGUAUCAAAGCUCCGGCGGUACAGGAUGGACCCGCGUCUGAUUAGCUAGUUGGUAAGGUAACGGCUUACCAAGGCGACGAUCAGUAGCCGACCUGAGAGGGUGAUCGGCCACAUUGGAACUGAGACACGGUCCAAACUCCUACGGGAGGCAGCAGUGGGGAAUAUUGCACAAGGGGCGAAAGCCUGAUGCAGCAACGCCGCGUGAGCGAUGAAGGCCUUCGGGUCGAAAAGCUCUGUCCUCAAGGAAGAUAAUGACGGUACUUGAGGAGGAAGCCCCGGCUAACUACGUG
RNAcentral lists this ribosomal RNA (473 nucleotides) under uncultured bacterium. RNAcentral describes it as "bacterial SSU rRNA". It matches the Rfam family "Bacterial small subunit ribosomal RNA", at positions 8 to 507 of the family's 1533-position model. The record is from RNAcentral.